RNAcentral lists this ribosomal RNA (207 nucleotides) under uncultured bacterium. RNAcentral describes it as "partial 16S ribosomal RNA". It matches the Rfam family "Bacterial small subunit ribosomal RNA", at positions 568 to 774 of the family's 1533-position model. The record is from RNAcentral.
UUCGUAGGUGGCCAACUAAGUCAUACGUGAAAUCCCUCAGCUUAACUGGGGAACUGCGUCUGAUACUGGUUGGCUUGAGUGCAGGAGAGGAACGCGGAAUUCCAGGUGUAGCGGUGAAAUGCGUAGAUAUCUGGAGGAAUACCGGUGGCGAAGGCGGCGUUCUGGACUGCAACUGACACUGAGGAACGAAAGCCAGGGAGGCAAACG